CCUGGCACUGAGAACUGAAUUCCAUAGGCUGUGAGCUCUAGCAAAUGCCCUGUGGACUCAGUUCUGGUGCCCGG
Nomascus leucogenys (northern white-cheeked gibbon) is the source of this 74-nucleotide microRNA precursor. Ensembl annotates it as microRNA 146b. Its record names the gene MIR146B. Lineage: Eukaryota; Metazoa; Chordata; Mammalia; Primates; Hylobatidae. The record is from Ensembl.